This 488-nucleotide ribosomal RNA is filed under the name uncultured bacterium. RNAcentral's name for it is "bacterial SSU rRNA". It matches the Rfam family "Bacterial small subunit ribosomal RNA", at positions 28 to 507 of the family's 1533-position model. The record is from RNAcentral.
GAUGAACGCUAGCGGCAGGCUUAACACAUGCAAGUCGAGGGGCAGCCGGGAGGAAGCUUGCUUUCUCCGCCGGCGACCGGCGCACGGGUGAGUAACACGUAUGCAACCUGCCCCUGCAGGGGGACAACCGCCGAAAGCGGGCUAAACCCGCGUACAUGCCACCGGGGCAUCCCGGAGGCAGGAAAGGCUUCGGCCGGACAGGGAUGGGCAUGCGGCGCAUUAGGCAGUAGGCGGGGUAACGGCCCACCUAACCGACGAUGCGUAGGGGUUCUGAGAGGAAGGUCCCCCACACUGGUACUGAGACACGGACCAGACUCCUACGGGAGGCAGCAGUGAGGAAUAUUGGUCAAUGGUCGGGAGGCUGAACCAGCCAAGCCGCGUGAGGGAUGAAGGUACAGAGUAUCGUAAACCUCUUUUGUCAGGGAACAAAGGCGGGGACGUGUCCCCGGAUGAGUGUACCUGAAGAAAAAGCAUCGGCUAACUCCGUG